RNAcentral lists this long non-coding RNA (628 nucleotides) under Chrysolophus pictus (golden pheasant). RNAcentral describes it as "lncRNA (ENSCPIG00010013154.1)". Lineage: Eukaryota; Metazoa; Chordata; Aves; Galliformes; Phasianidae. The record is from RNAcentral.
AUAACAUCGUGCCUUGGGUGUGAGAAUGUGGGACGGAGUGCCCAAAUCAAGGAAUCGCUAUUCCCUGCUCUCCUUUCCCCGCAGAUUUGUCCCCGGCUCUCCGGUUUCGUGUCCCCUCGCGGUGGCGGUGGGGCAGUGCCGGUGCCGAUGACGAUGAGAGGAAUGUUGCCCGUCCGGUUCCGCCGCGGCAACUCCGGGCCGGGCCCGCGGUGCGGCGGCUCUCAGGGGCUCUGCAGGACCGGCACUCCCGGUCCGGUCGGGGUACCUCCGUGCCCGCAUGGCUCCGCGGAGGCUGAGCGCCGCGGGGCCUCGGGGACGCCGCCAUGGCGAAGCGGGAGGCCAACGCCAGCCCGGUGGUGCGGCAGAUUGACAAACAGUUCCUGGUGUGCAGCAUCUGCCUCGACCGCUACCGCAACCCCAAGGUGCUGCCGUGCCUGCACACCUUCUGUGAGAGGUGUCUCCAGAACUAUAUCCCGCCCCAGAGCCUGACCCUGUCCUGCCCCGUGUGCCGCCAGACCUCCAUCCUGCCCGAGCGCGGCGUGGCGGCCCUGCAGAACAACUUCUUCAUCACCAACCUGAUGGAAGUGCUGCAGCGCGACCCCGACAGCCGCGGCCCCCACCCCGGCCC